UACGGAGGACCCAAGCGUUAUUCGGAUUUAUUGGGGUUAAAGGGUGCGUAGGCGGAUUAGUAAGUCAGAGGUGAAAUCCCACAGCUUAACUGUGGAACUGCCUUUGAUACUGCUAACCUUGAGUACAGAUGAUGUGGGCGGAAUAUGACAUGUAGCGGUGAAAUGCUUAGAUAUGUCAUAGAACACCGAUUGCGAAGGCAGCUCACAAAACUGUAACUGACGCUGAGGCACGAAAGCAUGGGGAUCGAACAGG
RNAcentral lists this ribosomal RNA (253 nucleotides) under uncultured bacterium. RNAcentral's name for it is "partial 16S ribosomal RNA". It matches the Rfam family "Bacterial small subunit ribosomal RNA", at positions 524 to 776 of the family's 1533-position model. The record is from RNAcentral.